GACGAACGCUGGCGGCGUGCUUAACACAUGCAAGUCGAACGAGAAUCUAAUGACGGAGUUUUCGGACAACUGAUUUAGAGGACAGUGGCGGACUGGUGAGUAACGCGUGAGGAACCUGCCUUUCAGAGGGGGACAACAGUUGGAAACGACUGCUAAUACCGCAUGACGCAUUUUGAUCGCAUGGUCGGAAUGCCAAAGAUUUAUCGCUGAAAGAUGGCCUCGCGUCUGAUUAGAUAGUUGGCGGGGUAACGGCCCACCAAGUCGACGAUCAGUAGCCGGACUGAGAGGUUGACCGGCCACAUUGGGACUGAGAUACGGCCCAGACUCCUACGGGAGGCAGCAGUGGGGAAUAUUGGGCAAUGGGCGCAAGCCUGACCCAGCAACGCCGCGUGAAGGAAGAAGGCUUUCGGGUUGUAAACUUCUUUUAAGUGGUAAGAGCAGAAGACGGUACCACUUGAAUAAGCCACGGCUAACUACGUGCCAGCAGCCGCGGU
RNAcentral lists this ribosomal RNA (494 nucleotides) under uncultured bacterium. RNAcentral's name for it is "bacterial SSU rRNA". It matches the Rfam family "Bacterial small subunit ribosomal RNA", at positions 28 to 521 of the family's 1533-position model. The record is from RNAcentral.